This 2241-nucleotide ribosomal RNA is filed under the name Triticum aestivum (bread wheat). Its description in RNAcentral is "partial small subunit ribosomal RNA". The record is from RNAcentral. Lineage: Eukaryota; Viridiplantae; Streptophyta; Magnoliopsida; Poales; Poaceae.
AUGCGGAGGUGGAAGAAACAGCUGGGCCACACCAUCUCCCGCCUCGUCUCCUCCAAACCCCCAUUCAACCUCGCAAGGCCCAAGCCCGCCGCGCCGCCGCCACCCCUACCUCCCCCACCGCCGCCGCAUUCAUCUCACCCGCCCCCGCCCCCGCCGCAGCCGGCCAUGCCGCCGCACGGGCGCCGCCCCGCGCCGCCGGCCCCGGGCGGCCACGUCUUCCCGCAGGCCGCGUCCACGGUGCUGCCCGACCCGGCCCGCUUCUUCGCGCCGGGCCUGCUCUCCGCGCCGCUCCCCACCAACUGCUUCUUCCAGAACUUCACGCUCAAGAACGGCGACCAGCCCGAGUACAUCCACCCCUACUCCGUCCGCUCCGCCGCGGCCGGGCUCACCCUCUGCUACCCGGCGCGCAGCCACUCCCCGGCCUUCGACAUCCAGACCUUCGCCGCCGACCUCACCGUCUCCUCCCCGUCCGACGCCGCCGCGGCCGGGCAGCCGCACCGCGUCGUCGCCUUCGACGACCUCUCCGUCACCCUCGACUUCUCCUCGUCGCUCCGCGCCUUCCUCGUCCGCGGCUGCCCCUUCGUCACCGUCGCCACCGCCGAGGCCGCGGGGCCCGUCGACGUCUCCGUCGCCUCCGUCCACGCCUUCCUCGAGGCCGCGCCCUGCGACGACGCGCGCACCAAGUGGCGCCUCCGGAUGAACAGCGGCCAGACCUUCCUCCUCUACGCCUCCGCGCCCAUCGCCCUGUCGCAGGCCAGCGUCACGCAGCUGGCCGCGCCGGGGUUCUCCGGCGUCAUCCGGAUCGCCUACCUGCCGGACCCGGCCAUGGAGGCGGUCCUCGACCAGUACAGCCGCUGCUACCCGACGGCCGGGGAGGCCGCGCUCAACCGCCCCUUCUGCAUCGACUACACGUGGCGCAAGCAGGGGUGGGGGGAUCUGCUCAUGCUCGCCAACCCGCUCCACCUUCGGCUGCUCCCCGACGACUGCUCCGUCCGGGUGCUCGACGACUUCAAGUACCGGAGCAUCGACGGGGACCUGGUCGGCGUCGUCGGCGACUCCUGGGUCCUCAAGACCGACCCCUUGUCCCCAACAUGGCAUUCCACCCGGGGCGUCAACGACGACGGGGUCGACGAGGUCGUGUCCGCGCUGCGCAAGGACGUUGACAGCCUUGCUUCCAGCCCCAUCACCACCACCUCCUCCUACUUCUACGGGAAGGCCAUUGCCAGGGCGGCGAGGCUGGCGUUGAUCGCCGAGGAGGUCGGGUGCCCCGAUGUCAUCCCCGCGGUGCAUCGGUUCUUGAAGGCCACCGUCACGCCGUGGCUGGACGGCAGUUUCCAGGGGAAUGGCUUCCUGUAUGAUCCCAAAUGGGGCGGCCUUGUCACCAAGCAGGGGCUGCAGGACUCCGGCGCAGACUUUGGCUUCGGGAUCUACAACGAUCACCACUACCAUUUGGGCUACUUCCUGUAUGCCAUUGCUGUGCUUGCCAAGAUCGAUCCAUCCUGGGGAAGGAAGUUCAUGUCUCAGGCCUACUCCAUGGUUGCCGAUUUCAUGACAUUGUCCCGCAAGUGCGGUGCGAGCUACACCAGGCUGAGGACUUUUGAUCUCUGGAAGCUGCAUUCCUGGGCCGGAGGACUGACAGAGUUCGGCGAUGGGCGCAACCAGGAGAGCACGAGCGAGGCUGUUAAUGCUUAUUACUCUGCUGCGCUCCUUGGACUGAGCUAUGGGGACACACACCUCGUCUCUGUCGGCGCGACGCUUACCGCGUUUGAGAUGCUGGCAGCGCAGACAUGGUGGCAUGUCCGGGAAGGAGAAGGGAUCUACGAGGACGACUUCAGCAGCAACAACCGUGUGGUCGGUGUCCUGUGGGCGAACAAGAGGGACAGUGGGCUCUGGUUCGCGCCACCGGAGUGGAAGGAAUGCAGGCUGGGGAUCCAGCUCCUGCCGCUCCUCCCGAUCAGUGAGGCCCUCUUCCCGGACGUUGGGUUCGUCAAGGACCUGGUGAGCUGGACCACGCCGGCCUUGGCGAGGGAUGGUGUCGGAGAAGGGUGGAAGGGCUUCGUGUAUGCGCUGGAGGGGGUUUACGACAAGGAGUCGGCAUUGGCCAAGACCAGGGCACUGGCAUCACACGACGACGGUAACACACUGACGAACCUUCUGUGGUGGCUCCAUAGCCGCGGCAAUGUCGACAACAUGGUUGUCGGAUCCGGCAGGUGCUGCUGGUAUCGGCAGUACGGCCAUUGA